AGCGAACGCUGGCGGCAGGCUUAACACAUGCAAGUCGAGCGGGCGUAGCAAUACGUCAGCGGCAGACGGGUGAGUAACACGUGGGAACGUACCUUUUGGUUCGGAACAACACAGGGAAACUUGUGCUAAUACCGGAUAAGCCCUUACGGGGAAAGAUUUAUCGCCGAAAGAUCGGCCCGCGUCUGAUUAGCGAGUUGGUAGGGUAAUGGCCUACCAAGGCGACGAUCAGUAGCUGGUCUGAGAGGAUGAUCAGCCACAUUGGGACUGAGACACGGCCCAAACUCCUACGGGAGGCAGCAGUGGGGAAUAUUGGACAAUGGGGGCAACCCUGAUCCAGCCAUGCCGCGUGAGUGAUGAAGGCCCUAGGGUUGUAAAGCUCUUUUGUGCGGGAAGAUAAUGACGGUACCGCAAGAAUAAGCCCCGGCUAACUUCGUGCCAGCCGCCGCAGUAA
RNAcentral lists this ribosomal RNA (451 nucleotides) under uncultured bacterium. Its description in RNAcentral is "partial 16S ribosomal RNA". It matches the Rfam family "Bacterial small subunit ribosomal RNA", at positions 29 to 523 of the family's 1533-position model. The record is from RNAcentral.